Molecule: long non-coding RNA, 248 nt
Filed under: Phoenix dactylifera (date palm)
Lineage: Eukaryota; Viridiplantae; Streptophyta; Magnoliopsida; Arecales; Arecaceae
Description: long non-coding RNA (PDAC_LNC021934)
Source: RNAcentral
CUGGUGGCUGGAAUGAACAACUUGAGUAAAAAGUUUGAUGCUUUCACUGUUUCCACUAGUUCGAGUUCAUACAAAGAGUCAAAUUCCGUCAUGAAAGAGAAUCACGAGUCAUAUAGUUUGUGUGUUUUGUGUAACAGUCUUGAGCAUCUAGUGGAGUGCUGCCCUAGUCUGCCUAACAUAAAGGCCGAGCAAGCAAAUGCUCUAAAUUCAUAUAGUGCCUUUAAGAAGCCCACUCCCAACUCGUUCAG